RNAcentral lists this ribosomal RNA (497 nucleotides) under uncultured bacterium. RNAcentral describes it as "partial 16S ribosomal RNA". It matches the Rfam family "Bacterial small subunit ribosomal RNA", at positions 28 to 507 of the family's 1533-position model. The record is from RNAcentral.
GAUGAACGCUGGCGGCGUGCCUAAUACAUGCAAGUCGAGCGAACAGACGAGGAGCUUGCUCCUCUGACGUUAGCGGCGGACGGGUGAGUAACACGUGGAUAACCUACCUAUAAGACUGGGAUAACUUCGGGAAACCGGAGCUAAUACCGGAUAAUAUAUUGAACCGCAUGGUUCAAUAGUGAAAGACGGUUUUGCUGUCACUUAUAGAUGGAUCCGCGCCGCAUUAGCUAGUUGGUAAGGUAACGGCUUACCAAGGCAACGAUGCGUAGCCGACCUGAGAGGGUGAUCGGCCACACUGGAACUGAGACACGGUCAAGACGCCUACGGGAGGCAGCAGUAGGGAAUCUUCCGCAAUGGGCGAAAGCUUGACGGAGCAACGCCGCGUGAGUGAUGAAGGUCUUCGGAUCGUAAAACUCUGUUAUUAGGGAAGAACAAAUGUGUAAGUAACUAUGCACGUCUUGACGGUACCUAAUCAGAAAGCCACGGCUAACUACGUG